RNAcentral lists this ribosomal RNA (2785 nucleotides) under Enterococcus faecium. Its description in RNAcentral is "bacterial LSU rRNA". It matches the Rfam family "Bacterial large subunit ribosomal RNA". Lineage: Bacteria; Bacillati; Bacillota; Bacilli; Lactobacillales; Enterococcaceae. The record is from RNAcentral.
CAUCUUUAAUAGGAUGUUACGAUUGUGUGAAUACAUAGCACAUUCGAGGUAGACGCAGAGAACUGAAACAUCUAAGUACCUGCAGGAAGAGAAAGAAAAUUCGAUUCCCUGAGUAGCGGCGAGCGAAACGGGAAAAGCCCAAACCAGCAAGCUUGCUUGUUGGGGUUGUAGGACUCCAAUAUGGUAGUUCUUUCAGAUAGUCGAAUGACUUGGAAAAGUCAGUCAAAGAGGGUAAAAACCCCGUAGACGAAAUGUGGAAGACACCUAGGAGGAUCCUGAGUACGGCGGAACACGAGAAAUUCCGUCGGAAUCCGGGAGGACCAUCUCCCAAGGCUAAAUACUCCCUAGUGACCGAUAGUGAACCAGUACCGUGAGGGAAAGGUGAAAAGCACCCCGGAAGGGGAGUGAAAUAGAACCUGAAACCGUGUGCCUACAACAAGUCAAAGCCCGUUAAUGGGUGAUGGCGUGCCUUUUGUAGAAUGAACCGGCGAGUUACGAUUGCAUGCGAGGUUAAGUUGAAGAGACGGAGCCGCAGCGAAAGCGAGUCUGAAUAGGGCGUUUGAGUAUGUAGUCGUAGACCCGAAACCAUGUGAUCUACCCAUGUCCAGGUUGAAGGUGCGGUAAAACGCACUGGAGGACCGAACCCACGUACGUUGAAAAGUGCGGGGAUGAGGUGUGGGUAGCGGAGAAAUUCCAAACGAACUUGGAGAUAGCUGGUUCUCUCCGAAAUAGCUUUAGGGCUAGCCUCGGAAUUGAGAAUGAUGGAGGUAGAGCACUGUUUGGACUAGGGGCCCAUCUCGGGUUACCGAAUUCAGAUAAACUCCGAAUGCCAUUCAUUCAUAUCCGGGAGUCAGACUGUGAGUGAUAAGAUCCAUAGUCGAAAGGGAAACAGCCCAGACCACCAGCUAAGGUCCCAAAAUAUAUGUUAAGUGGAAAAGGAUGUGGGGUUGCACAGACAACUAGGAUGUUGGCUUAGAAGCAGCCAUCAUUUAAAGAGUGCGUAAUAGCUCACUAGUCGAGUGACCCUGCGCCGAAAAUGUACCGGGGCUAAACAUAUUACCGAAGCUGUGGAGUACACCUUUAGGUGUAUUGGUAGGAGAGCGUUCUAAGGGCGUUGAAGGCAGAUCGUGAGGACUGCUGGAGCGCUUAGAAGUGAGAAUGCCGGUAUGAGUAGCGAAAGACAGGUGAGAAUCCUGUCCACCGAAUGACUAAGGUUUCCUGGGGAAGGCUCGUCCGCCCAGGGUUAGUCGGGACCUAAGCCGAGGCCGACAGGCGUAGGCGAUGGAUAACAGGUUGAUAUUCCUGUACCCGUUGUUUUUGUUUGAGCAAUGGAGGGACGCAGGAGGCUAAGGAAUGCAGACGAUCGGAAAUGUCUGUCCAAGCAGUAAGUCUGAAGAGGAGUCAAAUGCUUCUUUUCUUAAGGACAAGCUGUGAUGGGGAGGGAAAUAAUAGUACCGAAGUUCCUGAUGUCACACUGCCGAGAAAAGCUUCUAGUGAGAAAACAGCGGCCCGUACCGCAAACCGACACAGGUAGUCGAGGAGAGAAUCCUAAGGUGAGCGAGAGAACUCUCGUUAAGGAACUCGGCAAAAUGACCCCGUAACUUCGGGAGAAGGGGUGCUGAUCAUACGAUCAGCCGCAGUGAAUAGGCCCAAGCGACUGUUUAUCAAAAACACAGGUCUCUGCAAAAUCGUAAGAUGAAGUAUAGGGGCUGACGCCUGCCCGGUGCUGGAAGGUUAAGAGGAGUGCUUAGCGCAAGCGAAGGUACGAAUUGAAGCCCCAGUAAACGGCGGCCGUAACUAUAACGGUCCUAAGGUAGCGAAAUUCCUUGUCGGGUAAGUUCCGACCCGCACGAAAGGCGUAACGAUUUGGGCACUGUCUCAACGAGAGACUCGGUGAAAUUUUAGUACCUGUGAAGAUGCAGGUUACCCGCGACAGGACGGAAAGACCCCAUGGAGCUUUACUGUAGUUUGAUAUUGAGUGUCUGUACCGCAUGUACAGGAUAGGUAGGAGCCGUAGAAAUCGGAACGCUAGUUUCGAUGGAGGCGCUGGUGGGAUACUACCCCUGCGUUAUGGCCACUCUAACCCGCACCACUAAUCGUGGUGGGAGACAGUGUCAGAUGGGCAGUUUGACUGGGGCGGUCGCCUCCUAAAAGGUAACGGAGGCGCCCAAAGGUUCCCUCAGAAUGGUUGGAAAUCAUUCGAAGAGUGUAAAGGCAGAAGGGAGCUUGACUGCGAGACCAACAAGUCGAGCAGGGACGAAAGUCGGGCUUAGUGAUCCGGUGGUUCCGCAUGGAAGGGCCAUCGCUCAACGGAUAAAAGCUACCCUGGGGAUAACAGGCUUAUCUCCCCCAAGAGUCCACAUCGACGGGGAGGUUUGGCACCUCGAUGUCGGCUCGUCGCAUCCUGGGGCUGUAGUCGGUCCCAAGGGUUGGGCUGUUCGCCCAUUAAAGCGGCACGCGAGCUGGGUUCAGAACGUCGUGAGACAGUUCGGUCCCUAUCCGUCGCGGGCGUUGGAAAUUUGAGAGGAGCUGUCCUUAGUACGAGAGGACCGGGAUGGACUUACCGCUGGUGUACCAGUUGUUCUGCCAAGGGCAUUGCUGGGUAGCUAUGUAGGGAAGGGAUAAACGCUGAAAGCAUCUAAGUGUGAAGCCCACCUCAAGAUGAGAUUUCCCAUUUCUUUAAGAAAGUAAGAUCCCUGAGAGAUGAUCAGGUAGAUAGGUCAGGAGUGGAAGUACAGUGAUGUAUGGAGCGGACUGAUACUAAUCGAUCGAGGACUUAACCAAU